AAUUGAAGGGUGAAGAGCAGAGAACUAUGAAGAUGAUUCAGGAAGAGGCACAUGGAGACUAGAGAUGAGGACCCUAAGACCUAGAGAAACUAAGUCAUUUGCUCAAGAAGACAAAGGCAUCGUCUGGUCCAGUUCAGCACAGAGCUAGCUGCAAGUGACAACCUAAGAGAAAAGUCAGCGAGAACAAAGAUCCAUCUCUUCGUUGACUGCCUUAAUCCCUAGAGCUGUGUUCUUCAAUUUGUUACUAUUUGCUACAAUUUUUCUGCCUAACAAGCAAGUUCUAUCCUGCCUAGGAGAGAAACUUUUAGUAAAUUCAUCUUCAUUCACUACUAUUCAGCUCAUGCUGUAAAAACUUAGAUAAUGCUGUCUGAAAUACUUAACUCCUGGUCAAAUGCAGCUGCUAUUUCAUUCAGUAUAAUCAAAGAAUAGCCAAGGACUUUAGUUAAUAUUUCUUCAGAUGAUAGAGAAUAAACAAAUUGUUUUGGAUAUAUCUACCAUGCCCUCCAAACAUGAUUGUUGAUAUCUUUUCUAUAUAAAUUACUUUCCUACAUAAAUGGUACUUAGCUUUUCCUUGAAAGAUAUGCUCUUCUCUCCAGCUCAAAGAUAACCCUCUUUCCCUCAAAUUAUAAGUAAUUUAUAUUUAAUAAUCUUUCAUACGAAUUUUUAAAAUUACAAAUGGUAAGGUACCACUAUUUUUUAUUUUGUAACAGCACAAACCAUCAAAUCAGAAAAAAAGAAAGGUUGAGUAUGAUCUCUGAAAAAUGAAUUCUAGUAGCAUGUAUAGCAAAAAUCAUCUUAGAAUGAAUAGAAGCCCUGAAUAACUCAAUGACCACCAGGCUUGUCUGCAUCCACGUUCUACUUGGUUAACUGUUAAAUAAUAUCUAACUUGUUGCAUUGUAAAAACAACAUGUGUCUGUAAACUGAAAAAUAGAUGUUAUUAUCCACCUGGUUUAGUCAUAAUGGAGAAAUGUCCUUCAGUUGCAUGAUGCUCUUCCUAUGA
This 1000-nucleotide long non-coding RNA is filed under the name Homo sapiens (human). RNAcentral describes it as "HSALNT0342025". The record is from RNAcentral. Lineage: Eukaryota; Metazoa; Chordata; Mammalia; Primates; Hominidae.